CGGGAAGGAGGCCGCGCUCCCAGGGUUAUCUCGCCGCCUCAGAUGCCGGGAAGCCCAAGGAGCCCAGCCGCUUCUGGACGACGUUCAGCAAGGCCGCAGUGAUCCCUGCGCGGAGAAGAGCCUGCCUGCUCUUUUCCAAGGUAAACAGCCCAUUUCCUCCGUC
This 163-nucleotide long non-coding RNA is filed under the name Vulpes vulpes (red fox). RNAcentral describes it as "Rhabdomyosarcoma 2 associated transcript conserved region 8 (ENSVVUG00000018739.1)". The stretch from base 1 to 140 matches the Rfam family "Rhabdomyosarcoma 2 associated transcript conserved region 8". Lineage: Eukaryota; Metazoa; Chordata; Mammalia; Carnivora; Canidae. The record is from RNAcentral.